AUACGUAGGGGGCAAGCGUUGUCCGGAAUUAUUGGGCGUAAAGGGUGCGUAGGCGGCCCUUUAAGUCAGAUGUGAAAGCCCACGGCUUAACCGUGGGACUGCAUUUGAAACUGGAGGGCUUGAGUGUCGGAGAGGGCAGUGGAAUUCCCAGUGUAGCGGUGGAAUGCGUAGAUAUUGGGAGGAACACCAGUGGCGAAGGCGACUGCCUGGACGAUAACUGACGCUGAGGCGCGAAAGCUAGGGGAGCAAACAGGAUUAGAUACCCUGGUAGUCCUAGCCGUAAACGAUGGGUACUAGGUGUAGGAGGUUUCGAUACCUUCUGUGCCGCAGUUAACGCAAUAAGUACCCCGCCUGGGGAGUACGUGCGCAAGCAUGAA
RNAcentral lists this ribosomal RNA (377 nucleotides) under uncultured bacterium. Its description in RNAcentral is "bacterial SSU rRNA". It matches the Rfam family "Bacterial small subunit ribosomal RNA", at positions 523 to 898 of the family's 1533-position model. The record is from RNAcentral.